GACGAACGCUGGCGGCGUGCCUAAUACAUGCAAGUAGAACGCUGAAGGAGGAGCUUGCUUCUCUGGAUGAGUUGCGAACGGGUGAGUAACGCGUAGGUAACCUGCCUGGUAGCGGGGGAUAACUAUUGGAAACGAUAGCUAAUACCGCAUAAGAGUAGAUGUUGCAUGACAUUUGCUUAAAAGGUGCAAUUGCAUCACUACCAGAUGGACCUGCGUUGUAUUAGCUAGUUGGUGAGGUAACGGCUCACCAAGGCGACGAUACAUAGCCGACCUGAGAGGGUGAUCGGCCACACUGGGACUGAGACACGGCCCAGACUCCUACGGGAGGCAGCAGUAGGGAAUCUUCGGCAAUGGACGGAAGUCUGACCGAGCAACGCCGCGUGAGUGAAGAAGGUUUUCGGAUCGUAAAGCUCUGUUGUAAGAGAAGAACGAGUGUGAGAGUGGAAAGUUCACACUGUGGCGGUAGCUUACCAGAAAGGGACGGCUAACUACGUG
Molecule: ribosomal RNA, 495 nt
Filed under: uncultured bacterium
Lineage: Bacteria
Description: partial 16S ribosomal RNA
Rfam family: Bacterial small subunit ribosomal RNA
Source: RNAcentral